This is a long non-coding RNA of Oncorhynchus keta (chum salmon), 4183 nucleotides long. RefSeq lists it as uncharacterized. The transcript is spliced from 3 exons. NCBI's taxonomy places the organism in Eukaryota, Metazoa, Chordata, Actinopteri, Salmoniformes, Salmonidae. The record is from RefSeq and is a predicted model, not a curated record.
GAAAAGAAAGAAAAACAAAGGAGUCUGCAUACACUGUGAAAGUAGAAGCUCUUCAUUAAAGUAGACUGUUUCAUGUUAAUGUAUUAAAUCAUUUUGGCACUUCACAAAACAAACAUUUAAUUGGAAAACCUGUUAGGCACCCAAGCACCAAUUACAUCUGAAAUGAUAACAUUUAAGAAAUUAAAACAUUUGUUUGAUUAGCUUUAUGAGAAGGAGUGGAGUAUACCAACCUAGGUAAUCAUUUAAUAGACAUUUAUUUUCAAUUAGAUCAAUCUUCUUCCGUAAAUUGAUUUAACAUUUCAACUCAAUUAAAAAGCCACCGGUUGAACUAAAGUACUUUGUUCAAAUUAAUUUGUUAUGACAUUUUCAGUAUAAGACUUGGUGCCUGAUACGAUGAAAGAAAACAAAGAGAAUUGUCUCAAAUGUCCAACUGCCUCCAGGGCUUACUGUGCUGAAGCUCCCAGUGUGACCGCAAAUGAAUAGAAAAUAUAUAGGGGAGGGGAAAAGCAAGAAAAUUCUAAAUGAGAAAAGAAAACGAGUUGAAUUUGAGUAUAAUUCUAAGGUUUAUAUAAUGUAAAUAUCCCUACUUAUUUGAACACUGUUACCCCAAAUUUUAGAAAGAGAUUUUUAGAGAGGAGGAACCAUGUGGGUAGAGCUAGCUGUGCUUGUUUGUUAAUUAAGAAACACCCUCUAAUCAAGAAGCAAUAACGAAAAGCAAUUUAAUAAUUACAUAUUGUAAAAUUGUCAUGGUAGUAUCUUCAUGGAGAUUUGUGAAGAUAUGUGUAUAUAUCUUUAAAAACAGAGAACGUGAAUAUAGAGGGAAUCUCACAGAGGGACAUAGUAAAGGAUAAUUCAAUAGAGAAACAGUGCCAUCUAGUGGAUCACUGAAGUAAGAUUGAGAGGUCUCGGCUCAAUUAGGGUACUGACCAAGAUCUCCCUUCUAUUAUUUAAUGCAUGGUUCAUAGCAUGCAUACCGUGUUAUUCUCCCAACAUGAUUCGUUUUCUUUUAUCAUUUAGCAAUCAAACAAAACGUUAUACAGUGACACAGUCAUUUUGUAAAAGUCUCCACAAAGGUUUGCCCUGGUUACUGUAACAAUACUGUUGCAACACUGGACCUGAGCCGAUCCUCAAAGUUUUUGAUUUUCACAACAGAUGCAAAUAUGAAUGUGACUUAAACAGUCGUCCAUGUGGAUGUUUCUUCACCUUGAAAUGAUCAUAGUAGCAACCAUUAUUAUGGAUUCCAUAAUUCAACACUGACUUACUGUCGGUAAUUUUGUGCCAGGUUCCAUAAACGUAAGAAAAGAACCCCCCCGAAAGAUGUUCAGGUACCGUGAUGAAGUAACAACAGUUUUAUAUAAAUGUUCAGGUACCGUGAUGAAGUAACAACAGUUGUAUAUAAAUGUUCAGGUACCGUGAUGAAGUAACAACAGUUUUAUAUAAAUGUUCAGGUACCGUGAUGAAGUAACAACAGUUGUAUAUAAAUGUUCAGGUACCGUGAUGAAGUAACAACAGUUUUAUAUAAAUGUUCAGGUACCGUGAUGAAGUAACAACAGUUUUAUAUAAAUGUUCAGGUACCGUGAUGAAGUAACAACAGUUUUAUAUAAAUGUUCAGGUACCGUGAUGAAGUAACAACAGUUUUAUAUAAAUGUUCAGGUACCGUGAUGAAGUAACAACAGUUGUAUAUAAAUGUUCAGGUACCGUGAUGAAGUAACAACAGUUUUAUAUAAAUGUUCAGGUACCGUGAUGAAGUAACAACAGUUGUAUAUAAAUGUUCAGGUACCGUGAUGAAGUAACAACAGUUUUAUAUAAAUGUUCAGGUACCGUGAUGAAGUAACAACAGUUGUAUAUAAAUGUUCAGGUACCGUGAUGAAGUAACAACAGUUGUAUAUAAAUGUUCAGGUACCGUGAUGAAGUAACAACAGUUUUAUAUAAAUGUUCAGGUACCGUGAUGAAGUAACAACAGUUUUAUAUAAAUGUUCAGGUACCGUGAUGAAGUAACAACAGUUUUAUAUAAAUGUUCAGGUACCGUGAUGAAGUAACAACAGUUUUAUAUAAAUGUUCAGGUACCGUGAUGAAGUAACAACAGUUUUAUAUAAAUGUUCAGGUACCGUGAUGAAGUAACAACAGUUGUAUAUAAAUGUUCAGGUACCGUGAUGAAGUAACAACAGUUUUAUAUAAAUGCAUUGAUGUAUGUGUGGUGCAACGUCCUUUUGAUAUUACAGUAAACACUGCAAGCACAUCUAGCCUCAGCUGGGUCUGGUAGACAAAGCCGGGAGCAAAACACCAGAGAGCUGAACACAAUAGGAGCAAAGCGGUGUCACUGGGAUGGUUAUUAUGCUUCAUCUUCCAUUUCUUACUCCAAGAUAUGGGCUCUUUGGCACGCUCACACUGGGAGGGCGUAGGGAGCACAGGAAGGCAAACUUGAGAAUGGAAGAGGCUGACUUUAGGCUGCCCUUCAGACAGCCACUCCUUGGCAUAGUUUUGUGUGAUCACCGGUAAAUCUUUAUUAAUUUUAAUUGGAGCCCCCAUUUAAAAGAGCAAUUAACGCGGAUUAAUCGAGCCCAUCCCGUAUAAUGUCUUCUGUUAAUUAGUUUGUCAGCACUGUUUUAAUAUCGUCUAAUGACUUCAUAUUUCAGGGAUGACAUUAAAGAGAUGCUGAAGGAAAAGAAAUGGCCUUAUCAGAAUGCCGAGCUUUAAUGGUUGAUGUACCCCGCCGCCAGGCAAGGUCAGGGCUCUGUGGCCACUGGGGAGGUAGGGCAGCCUGCAGAGUGGCACCAGGGACAAUGCUCUGCCUCACUCACUCUCUCCCCCACUCUCUCCCUCACAAAGUUAUACAGCCCUGAGAGAACUGGACUCCACUUGGAUUAGCAUGACAGCUGGAUUAGUUACUGAGGGAAAUGACAAAAUAAUAGCAAACUGCUCUCUGGUUUGGUGUUCUGAAAUGUUGACAAUUGUUGUAGUAACUUCUGGUAUGGAAGAACAUUACCCCCUAUAUGGUGUGAUGGUGUCCUACUUGACCUCCCACCUCUCAUCCUAUGAGAAAGCCUAGCAGACAAUAGGGGUUGAAGGUCAUGUCCUCUGCCCCACCUGUUUUAGGGUAAACAAACCAAGGCUCAGGAUCAGAGAGGGAGGGAGAUACUGUAGCCCUAUCUCUCUCUUCAUCUGUUUAUCCAUCUGAGAAAACACCAUAUGUAAUUGUUCUCUGUUCCUCACCCCCUCUACAGCCGAGAGCCACUGCUUGUGAGUCGUGAAUAAUAGCUUCACGGAUAACUCAAUGGAUUCGUUAUGAGUGGAAUAAGUAUUGGGCUCUUCUCUCUUUGUCACUAUGGCCAGGAUGAUCACCAUACAUCAGUGUUAGAUAACAAAGGCCUGCAGUGGGACAUGGUAAUAACGGAGGUUUCAAAUGGUUAUAUGAUAAUCCACCUCAAGAAGGAAGGAUGUAAAUUCAUCGUAGACACUUUCCAUUUGAAGUGGUUUGUCAUAUAACCCUGGUUAUUUUAUGUUAAUCAACACAUUUAACUUGGUCCCACCAGCAUGAGGUUUCACAAAAUAGACACAGAGAGAUUGACAGACCGAGUGAAGUUGAUCAAAAAAAACAACACUGCAAAAAGCUCACCCAGUUUAUUGCGGCUCUGGCGUGCAUCCCUGCUAAUUUGAGUGUGCCCUCGCACCUCCACUCUCCUCGGCAGAUUCAUAAAUCUCAUUCCCAUUAUCCCGCUAAUUAGCCGGGAUUACAGGAGCAUGUAAUGCCCCCGCUUCCCAAUAGAUGGAUUGGAGGACGGUCUCUUUGUUUUGAAAUCACUUCCUGAUUGAUGUACAGACUCCUAGUUUGCAAUUGUAAUGGCCCAGAUGUUAACAAUCAAAUGCGUUUACGCUCCAGGAAGUAACAGUCUGUCAUGGAAGAGGAGCCAGCCAGGCGUGUAACGACACAUCACAGGAGUGUGGGGAAGAAGGGACUGGGAAGAGAGGGGGAGGGCGGUGGGGCUAGCGCAUGCCCCUGCCCGUCAUUGAGUGCUCUGUUCUUCCCACCAUAAUACCACGCAGGUCCUGGUGUUGAUUGGGCCAUCAGGCUACACUGAUGUGGCCAACCCGGAGGAUUCCUCAGUCAAAUAUUGAUCUCUGAAGCGCUUGUGAGAAACGCAGAGAGACUGUUUUUCAUUAUGAUUUUGCAUAACCACUCAUG